AUGGAGGAUCCUAUGGACAGGGAGGCCCAGGUUAUUCCCACAGCUCUUAUUCUGGAAACCAGGGAGGGUCUUCCUUCUCUCCUGGUGGAUCUUACGGACAGGGAGGGUCUUCUGUCAGUGAUAACGGCAGUGAAUCCUAUGGUCAGGAUGGAUCUUCUGCAUAUGGUGGCACUGCAUCUUAUGGUCAGGAUUCACCUUCCAUGGGAGUUAGUGAAUCUGAUUACAGUGAUUCUACCUCACCAUCUUACAACCGUCAGAGUGAACGGGAUUUUUAUUCCCCUGGAGGCAGCCAGUCAGGUGGACAUGGAUUAUCUUCUCAAGGUGGUGGCUAUUCUGGUGGACAGGGCUCAUUCUCAUCAGGAACCAACCAAUAUGGUGGGCAGGUGGGAAAUUUUUCUUUUCUUUUUUUUAAUCUCCCCCAGUACAUGUUUCAAGAAAAUAUUGUAG
This 447-nucleotide long non-coding RNA is filed under the name Phasianus colchicus (ring-necked pheasant). RNAcentral describes it as "lncRNA (ENSPCLG00000022339.1)". The record is from RNAcentral. Lineage: Eukaryota; Metazoa; Chordata; Aves; Galliformes; Phasianidae.